AGAAACCAAAAUGGGCGCAUACGCCCAUCCCAACCACCAAUCUAUGGUCUUAUCCUUGAGUAUGAAAGGAGGAACAUUCACACAAACUGGGCACUUUCCACUGCUAUAACUAACAAUGGGGGAAGAGUGGAUUAUAAUGUGCUAGAUUGUAAUGUUGGUUCACACCCCAAAGACAUCUCUGCCAUAUGUAUUUAUUUACACACAGGCAUUCUGACAUCAAGGAUAUAUUUGGUGCUGCUACUGCCAUUACAGAAUUCUUAGGGAUUUCCUUGAAAACUCAGGUAGCUGGCAGCAUGGACAGAUUUUCUAAAGCAAAAUUUAGGGGAACCUUACAAAGAUCUUCAAGGUGGUCUUUGAUUUCUAAAGGAGAUAUUUGUGAAGAAAAGUUUAAAAUGUUCUGCCCGUUGUUUGUGGAACACCAGUCAAAGGAUUCAAUCAAAUCAAGCAUUUGUAGUUAUAUUGAUUGCACUGGGAGAGACCUAACACAUGAGUCACUAUCCCAUUAACAUAUGGGUAACCAAUGUGGAGAUCUCUAGAUGUUGCCAAACUGCAGUUCCCAUUAUCCUCUACCAUUGACCAUUCUGGGUGAGGCUAAUAAGAGAUGAAGUUCACAAAAUCUAGAGGGUACAACAUUGGCUACCCCUGCAUUAACACUAAGGUUCCUACUAUUGGCUGGGUUGUGACCAUUAAUUGUACAAAAUAAAGAAUUUUUAAUGUUAGUUAAUAAUCUGCAUACAUGGAUUUACCUUGGAUUUUCUCCCGUUCUUAUUCUUUUUGAUGUGCAGAAUGUAAUUUCAGUAUUUUGGGUUAUUUUGGCAUUAUAAAUUUCUCCCUUGGAGGUAUAGCCAUAGAAAUAUUAGUCAGAAAAGUAUCCUUUUAAGAAAUGCUUUUUUCCUCUCUCUCUCUGCCCAUUUCUUUUUUUAAAAAAAAAAAUUAACUAUAUAUUUAAGGUGUGGUUGUGCCAUAUUCCUGUGAUCUUCCCUCAGAGAACAUUUUUUGAAUCACACAAAUAUUUUGUAAUAAAAAUAUUUUUAUGGCUGUGUCCUGAUCUCAACCACUCUACUGCCAUAAUCCUAAUUUACUUAAAUGAAGAAUGUCUGCUUGUAGAGUCAAUGAACUAGGGCUUUUUUUCCCCACGAGGGGAAAAGUAAAAAGCUAUCAUAUUAAACCUGCAAAACCUUUUAUUCAAGUUCUUUCAGGUGUCUUUAUAUUGGCAAUGAUUGUCUCCUGUUAAAUUGGUUCUUAUUACAGUGGUACCUUGGGUUACAAACACUUCGGGUUACAGACUCCACUAACCCGGAAGUAGUACCUCAGGUUAAGAACUUUACCUCAGGAUGAGAACAGAAAUCACGCGGCAGCGGGAGGCCCCAUUAGCUAAAGUGCUACCUCAGGUUAAGAAAUGUUUCAGGUUAAGAACAGGCCUCUGGAACGAAUUAAGUUUGUAACCAGAGGUACCACUGUUAUUGUUUCCAUCACUGAAAUGUCUCUUUCCGCACUUCUCUCAGCUAUCGUAUCGUUUUAGAGGAACUGCAGAUUUGGAAGUGGGACACUGGAUCACCUUAUAUGAACCACAAUGUAUCCCAUACUGAAGUAUGACUCUUCAAUUGAUGGGAGGUGCAAAGUCAGGUAAAAUGCAUCAAUGGUUCCACUGUAAAUUUCUCUUUUAAAAAACUUAAAUUAAGGGGCAAACAGGUAAAGGAGAAUAAUAUAUACAGUGAAAAAAUAAAAUAGAAGUGGGUUCCUCAUUUCAGGAUGGUCUCCAGAUCCUCUAACGAAAGUUCUUGGAGAAAUAAAAACAACAUUAAAAAAAACAAUAAAAAUGAUAAUAAUUAAAAACAAUGGAUUAAAGACUAUUGAUCUAAACAAUCACUAACACAUUUUUGUAAGAUUGGUUGAUUAAUCAUAUGUGCAAAGGCUAAAUAAUGAAGUAUUCAAAUUUCAUAAAAAUGUUAUUAUAAUGGGCUGGUUAGUCAUGCUUUGGUCCCAUUCUAUAAUUGUUUAUGUAAAAUGUGGAAACACUGAGUCAGCCACGUAAUGAAUGCUUGAAUUGUAUUUCCUAUAAUUUAAAUUUUGCACAUUAAAAAACAGCAACUGAGAUAGAUUCACACUGCUCCUUAUUUAACUGCAAUGGGUUAUCCCCCACCCCCAACAUCAUCACUACCUGGAAAUAAAAUAAUUUAAGAAGGAAAAUAAUAUUAAUCUGACAGUGCGUCUAUUUAUAUCUAAGAUCAAACUUUGAUGAAGUACAUUUUUCAUGGUGCAUCAGCAAAGUGUAUGAUGCAGGAAAAACUGUACCCAUUGUAUUAUCUUCAGGUCCAUCAAUUUUUAUCAAGUUUAUGCUGUAUGAAGACUUUUAAUGGAAAUCAGCAACUGUAGCCAUCUAGUGCAUGUUGUUAUAUAAUGAACUGGAGUAAGACCCCAGGAAGACUUAAUUACUUGCACUGGGAACAGCCUUAAGCUCAUUAUGUAAGGUGUUGUAACUGCACGCAGAUUAAAACACGAUAGUCUCUGCCCACAGCCUCACAAUCUGGAAGAUAUGGCACAAAAAGAAAAAGGAAUGGGGAGGAAGAGAAAAUAUAUAAUCAGUUCUAAACAAAAAACACUACAGAUCUUAAAAUGACCAGCUGGAAUAGAGGCAGUCCAAGGAAGGGGAGAGCCAGAUGACAGAUGGCUUCUCAACUGAACUAAUGAAGUUGGCCUUGCAGCCCCCUCUUUCCAUCCUGGGCAUUCAGGCUCAAUUUUCUCCCACAAGAGAAAGCGAUGUCCACCAACUUGGACGGCUUUAAAAGAGGAUUGGAUGAAUUCAUGGAAGAGAAGACUAACCAUGUUUACUAGCCUCAAGGGCUACGAUCUACCUCCACUGUUGGAGGCAGUAUGCCUCUAAAUAUGAGCUGCUGGGAAUCAGUCUACCUUCCUGCUGGAGCGGUACCUAUUUAUCUACUUGCACUUUGUGCUUUCAAACUGCUAGGUUGGGAGGAGCAGGGACCAAGCAAUGGGAGCUCACCCUGUUGCAGGGAUUUGAACUGCCAACCUUCUGACCGGCAAGCCCUAGGCUCUGUGGUUUAACCCACAGCGCCACCCACAUCCACUGAAAAGUUUACAGGAUUCAAUAUUAUUUUUUUACACACUGUUCCUGCCUGCACAUUUUCACUGCAUUUUCUGUGUGCUAAAACUACUAAAAAACUGCAAGAGCACAGCUUCCUGAGGCAGGCAUCCUAUACACACUUACCUGGGAGUAAGUUCCAUUGAACUCAGUGGGUCUUACUUCCGAGCAGAAAUCUACAAGAUUGUGCUCUAAAGCUUACAAAAACUAUUUCCCCAAUAGACUUCAUGAAAAGAUUUUUUAAAAAAAUGAACCUGAAAUGUUUGUUCAGUUACUUGAAUUGCCAUUUCUGUACAACAGUUUGGAAAAAGGGACUGGAAAAAUACUCUCACAGAUGUGGAAUUUUUUAUUUAUUUAAACUAACAC
Podarcis lilfordi (Lilford's wall lizard) is the source of this 3469-nucleotide non-coding RNA. The record is from the annotation of a GenBank genome assembly. NCBI's taxonomy places the organism in Eukaryota, Metazoa, Chordata, Lepidosauria, Squamata, Lacertidae.